Molecule: ribosomal RNA, 253 nt
Filed under: uncultured bacterium
Lineage: Bacteria
Description: partial 16S ribosomal RNA
Rfam family: Bacterial small subunit ribosomal RNA
Source: RNAcentral
UACGUAGGGCGCAAGCGUUGUCCGGAAUUAUUGGGCGUAAAGAGCUCGUAGGCGGUCUGUUACGUCCGCUGUGAAAACCCAGGGCUUAACCCUGGGCUUGCAGUGGAUACGGGUAGACUAGAGGCAGGUAGGGGAGAAUGGAAUUCCCGGUGUAGCGGUGAAAUGCGCAGAUAUCGGGAGGAACACCAAUAGCGAAGGCAGCUCGCUGGGACGUUACUGACACUAAGGCGCGAAAGCGUGGGGAGCGAACAGG